This is a long non-coding RNA of Gossypium arboreum, 729 nucleotides long. RefSeq lists it as uncharacterized. The record is from RefSeq and is a predicted model, not a curated record. The transcript is spliced from 4 exons. Lineage: Eukaryota; Viridiplantae; Streptophyta; Magnoliopsida; Malvales; Malvaceae.
UUUGAAUUCUUUUUUAAAAUUUUAAUUUAUUAAUUUAUUUUAUCUCUUUCCAGCCUCUUGUCACGUUUUCACUUCUUUUGUUUUUAUUAUUUUCAUUUUAUUUUUAAUUUUUCAAAUAAAUUUGCUCCCAUUUUCUUUCUUUCCCCACAUUUGUUCCCCAAUUUCCCCAUUUUCACGCCACCAUGCUUUGCAACCGGUUCUGUUUUGUUCCUUUCUAUUCUUCUUUUGAUUCUUGAUCUUUUAUGUUUUUUUUUCUUUAUUUUGUUUUGGCUGCCAUUCUGCUCUUAAAUGGAUUCUCUAUUCACGACUUUGCUUCUCGUUCCCUUGUUGUUCGCUUCAUUCUCGGUGUUGUGGUUUGUCGUAGUUGUUUCGUCAGAGGAUUGUGUGGCUGUUGGUUCUGCUCCAGCCACUUAAACGUCUUGUGUUCGUUGUUUCGUAGCGUAACCCUCAAACUUAGGUGGAUCGGUGCAAUGGGAGCUCAGUUAUAAUAUCUUGGUUAGCUCGGGGUUGGAGAUCGUCAGAGGCAACAUCACACUAUCAAGUUGCUACCUUUGGAAUAAUGAAGUAUAUAUUAGAAAUUUCAAGUGAGUGGCAUGUAUAGAGAUCUAGUUGAUUGACAUGUAUUAUUUUGCUUUGGCCAAAUGUGUUGGCUUAUAUUGAGUUAUAUGUAUAUGGCCAUGAGAUGUGGCUCAUAUUGAUUAUGACUUGUAAGCCUAGCUAUUCAUGUCA